This 322-nucleotide ribosomal RNA is filed under the name uncultured bacterium. Its description in RNAcentral is "bacterial SSU rRNA". It matches the Rfam family "Bacterial small subunit ribosomal RNA", at positions 32 to 332 of the family's 1533-position model. The record is from RNAcentral.
AAUCAACGCUGGCGGCGUGCCUAACACAUGCAAGUCGAGCGGGAAAGGGGGCUUCGGUCCCUGAGUAUAGCGGCGGACGGGUGAGUAACACGUGGGUAAUUUGCCCUUGGGUGUGGAAUAACUCAGGGAAACUUGAGCUAAUACCGCAUGACAUCCCCUUCUCACAGGAGUUGGGGAUCAAAGCCGGGGACCCUUCGGGGCCUGGCGCCUGAGGAGAAGCCCGCGCCCGAUUAGCUAGUUGGNGAGGUAAUGGCUCACCAAGGCUUCGAUCGGUAGCCGGCCUGAGAGGGCGGACGGCCACACUGGGACUGAGACACGGCCC